GGCCAGACUCCUACGGGAGGCAGCAGUGGGGAAUAUUGCACAAUGGGGGAAACCCUGAUGCAGCGACGCCGCGUGAGUGAAGAAGUAUUUCGGUAUGUAAAGCUCUAUCAGCAGGGAAGAAGUUGACGGUACCUGAGUAAGAAGCCCCGGCUAACUACGUGCCAGCAGCCGCGGUAAUACGUAGGGGGCAAGCGUUAUCCGGAUUUACUGGGUGUAAAGGGAGCGUAGACGGCAGUGCAAGUCUGAAGUGAAAGCCCCGGGCUUAACCCGGGAACUGCUUUGGAAACUGUACGGCUGGAGUGCUGGAGAGGUAAGCGGAAUUCCUAGUGUAGCGGUGAAAUGCGUAGAUAUUAGGAGGAACACCAGUGGCGAAGGCGGCUUACUGGACAGUAACUGACGUUGAGGCUCGAAAGCGUGGGGAGCAAACAGGAUUAGAUACCCUCGUA
Molecule: ribosomal RNA, 446 nt
Filed under: uncultured bacterium
Lineage: Bacteria
Description: bacterial SSU rRNA
Rfam family: Bacterial small subunit ribosomal RNA
Source: RNAcentral